UUCUACGGCCAUGUCACCCUGAACAAGCCUGAUGUCUGAUACUGGAAGCUAAGCAGGGUCAGGCCUGGUGGUUAGUACUUGGAUGGGAGACCACCUAAGAAGACCAGGUGCUGUAGGCA
Molecule: ribosomal RNA, 119 nt
Filed under: Pteropus alecto (black flying fox)
Lineage: Eukaryota; Metazoa; Chordata; Mammalia; Chiroptera; Pteropodidae
Source: RNAcentral